GACGAACGCUGGCGGCGUGCCUAAUACAUGCAAGUCGAACGCUGAAGGAGGAGCUUGCUUCUCUGGAUGAGUUGCGAACGGGUGAGUAACGCGUAGGUAACCUGCCUUUUAGCGGGGGAUAACUAUUGGAAACGAUAGCUAAUACCGCAUAAUAGUAGAUGUUGCAUGACAUUUGCUUAAAAGUUUCAAUUGCAUCACUACGAGAUGGACCUGCGUUGUAUUAGCUAGUGGGUGGGGUAAAGGCUCACCAAGGCGACGAUACAUAGCCGACCUGAGAGGGUGAUCGGCCAGACUGGGACUGAGACACGGCCCAGACUCCUACGGGAGGCAGCAGUAGGGAAUCUUCGGCAAUGGACGGAAGUCUGACCGAGCAACGCCGCGGGAGUGUAGAAGGUUUUCGGAUCGUAAAGCUCUGUUGUCAGAGAAGAACGAGUGUGAGAGUGGAAAGUUCACACUGUGACGGUAUCUUACCAGAAAGGGACGGCUAACUACGUG
This 495-nucleotide ribosomal RNA is filed under the name uncultured bacterium. RNAcentral's name for it is "partial 16S ribosomal RNA". It matches the Rfam family "Bacterial small subunit ribosomal RNA", at positions 28 to 507 of the family's 1533-position model. The record is from RNAcentral.